Molecule: long non-coding RNA, 380 nt
Filed under: Ananas comosus (pineapple)
Lineage: Eukaryota; Viridiplantae; Streptophyta; Magnoliopsida; Poales; Bromeliaceae
Description: long non-coding RNA (ACOM_LNC019873)
Source: RNAcentral
AUAAAAUAAGAAAUAGAAAAUUAUAAUUUUGUGAUUUUGACUGUUUGAUUAGUUGAUUGUAAAUAUAAAAGUGAAAAAUAUAAAAAGACAACUUAUGCCUCUAAUUUAAAUUAAAUUUAUACUUAUAUUUGAAGUUUAAAAUUAAAUUUUAAAUUUUAAAUUUAAACUUAAAUCUGAAUUAAAUUUAUAAUUAAAAUUUAAGACAUAUAAUUAAAUUUUUAAUAUGAAUUAAAGAUUAAGUUAUAACUGGUAAUUGAAAUUAAAUUUAUAGUUCAGAUAAAUUUAAUUUAAAAUUUAAAAUAGAAUUUAAAUUUAAAAACUGAAAUUAAAUUAAUUUAAACUUUAAAACUAGAAUUUAAAAUGUAAAUAAAAAUUUAAAU